This 18-nucleotide non-coding RNA is filed under the name Mus musculus (house mouse). RNAcentral also lists the same sequence under 2 other names. Lineage: Eukaryota; Metazoa; Chordata; Mammalia; Rodentia; Muridae. The record is from RNAcentral.
AACCUGCGGAAGGAUCAU